RNAcentral lists this ribosomal RNA (497 nucleotides) under uncultured bacterium. Its description in RNAcentral is "partial 16S ribosomal RNA". It matches the Rfam family "Bacterial small subunit ribosomal RNA", at positions 28 to 507 of the family's 1533-position model. The record is from RNAcentral.
GAUGAACGCUGGCGGCGUGCCUAAUACAUGCAAGUCGAGCGAACGGACGAGAAGCUUGCUUCUCUGAUGUUAGCGGCGGACGGGUGAGUAACACGUGGAUAACCUACCUAUAAGACUGGGAUAACUUCGGGAAACCGGAGCUAAUACCGGAUAAUAUUUUGAACCGCAUGGUUCAAAAGUGAAAGACGGUCUUGCUGUCACUUAUAGAUGGAUCCGCGCCGCAUUAGCUAGUUGGUAAGGUAACGGCUUACCAAGGCAACGAUGCAUAGCCGACCUGAGAGGGUGAUCGGCCACACUGGAACUGAGACACGGUCCAGACUCAUACGGGAGGCAGCAGUAGGGAAUCUUGCGCAAUGGGCGAAAGCCUGACGGAGCAACGCCGCGUGAGUGAUGAAGGUUGUCGGAUCGUAAAACUCUGUUAUUAGGGAAGAACAUAUGUGUAAGUAACUGUACACAUCUUGACGGUACCUAAUCAGAAAGCCACGGCUAACUACGUG